RNAcentral lists this ribosomal RNA (783 nucleotides) under uncultured bacterium. RNAcentral's name for it is "bacterial SSU rRNA". It matches the Rfam family "Bacterial small subunit ribosomal RNA", at positions 9 to 764 of the family's 1533-position model. The record is from RNAcentral.
GAGUUUGAUCCUGGCUCAGAAUGAACGCUGGCGGCGUGCUUAACACAUGCAAGUCGUACGAGAACACUCUAGCUUGCUAGGGUAAGUAAAGUGGCGCACGGGUGAGUAACGCGUGGGUAAUCUACCUUCGAAUUGGGGAUAACGUUGCGAAAGCGACGCUAAUACCGAAUAACAUCCAUUAAUCUUCGGGUUUUUGGAUCAAGGGUGGCCUCUACAUGUAAGCUACUGUUUGAAGAUGAGCCCGCGUACCAUUAGCUUGUUGGUGGGGUAAAGGCCUACCAAGGCUUCGAUGGUUAGCUGGUCUGAGAGGAUGAUCAGCCACACUGGAACUGACACACGGUCCAGACUCCUACGGGAGGCAGCAGUGAGGAAUUUUGCGCAAUGGGGGAAACCCUGACGCAGCAACGCCGCGUGAGUGACGAAGGCUUUCGGGUCGUAAAGCUCUGUCAAGUGGGAAGAACCUGCAGUAUGCUAAUAUCAUAUUGCACUGACGGUACCACUGAAGGAAGCACCGGCUAACUCCGUGCCAGCAGCCGCGGUAAUACGGGGGGUGCAAGCGUUAUUCGGAAUCAUUGGGCGUAAAGAGCACGUAGGCGGCUUGGUAAGUCAGAUGUGAAAGCCCGGGGCUUAACCCCGGAAGUGCAUUUGAUACUGUCAGGCUUGAGUAUGGGAGAGGGAAGUGGAAUUCCUGGUGUAGAGGUGAAAUUCGUAGAUAUCAGGAGGAACACCGGUGGCGAAGGCGACUUCCUGGACCAAUACUGACGCUGAAGUGCGAAGGCGUGG